GUGCUUGCUUUGGUAGCACAUGUACUAAAAUUGGAACGAUACAGAGAAGAAUAGGAUGGCCCCUGCGCAAAAAGCUAAGACACUUUCAGGGACUGGUGACCAAUAAUUUA
Molecule: small nuclear RNA, 110 nt
Organism: Suncus etruscus (white-toothed pygmy shrew)
Lineage: Eukaryota; Metazoa; Chordata; Mammalia; Eulipotyphla; Soricidae
Source: RefSeq, a predicted model, not a curated record